Molecule: ribosomal RNA, 1319 nt
Filed under: Marquandomyces cf. marquandii
Lineage: Eukaryota; Fungi; Ascomycota; Sordariomycetes; Hypocreales; Clavicipitaceae
Description: partial large subunit ribosomal RNA
Rfam family: Eukaryotic large subunit ribosomal RNA
Source: RNAcentral
AAGCGGAGGAAAAGAAACCAACAGGGAUUGCCCCAGUAACGGCGAGUGAAGCGGCAACAGCUCAAAUUUGAAAUCUGGCCCCUAGGGCCCGAGUUGUAAUUUGCAGAGGAUGCUUUUGGCGAGGUGCCUUCCGAGUUCCCUGGAACGGGACGCCAUAGAGGGUGAGAGCCCCGUCUGGUUGGAUACCGAGCCUCUGUAAAGCUCCUUCGACGAGUCGAGUAGUUUGGGAAUGCUGCUCUAAAUGGGAGGUAUAUGUCUUCUAAAGCUAAAUAUUGGCCAGAGACCGAUAGCGCACAAGUAGAGUGAUCGAAAGAUGAAAAGCACUUUGAAAAGAGGGUUAAAAAGUACGUGAAAUUGUUGAAAGGGAAGCGCUCAUGACCAGACUUGGGCCCGGUGAAUCACCCAGCGUUCUCGCUGGGGCACUUUGCCGGGCUCAGGCCAGCAUCAGUUCGCGUCGGGGGACAAAGACUUCGGGAAUGUGGCUCCUCCGGGAGUGUUAUAGCCCGUUGUGCAAUACCCUGGGGCGGACUGAGGUUCGCGCAUCUGCAAGGAUGCUGGCGUAAUGGUCAUCAGCGACCCGUCUUGAAACACGGACCAAGGAGUCGUCUUCGUAUGCGAGUGUUCGGGUGCAAAGCCCCUACGCGUAAUGAAAGUGAACGCAGGUGAGAGCUUCGGCGCAUCAUCGACCGAUCCUGAUGUUCUCGGAUGGAUUUGAGUAAGAGCAUACGGGGCCGGACCCGAAAGAAGGUGAACUAUGCUUGAAUAGGGUGAAGCCAGGGGAAACCCUGGUGGAGGCUCGCAGCGGUUCUGACGUGCAAAUCGAUCGUCAAAUUUGAGCAUGGGGGCGAAAGACUAAUCGAACCUUCUAGUAGCUGGUUUCCGCCGAAGUUUCCCUCAGGAUAGCAGUGUUGAUCUCAGUUUUAUGAGGUAAAGCGAAUGAUUAGGGACCCGGGGGCUAUAUAUUGCCUUCAUCCAUUCUCAAACUUUAAAUAUGUAAGAAGCCCUUGUUACUUAACUGAACGUGGGCAUUCGAAUGUAUCAGCACUAGUGGGCCAUUUUUGGUAAGCAGAACUGGCGAUGCGGGAUGAACCGAACGCGAGGUUAAGGUGCCAGAGUAGACGCUCAUCAGACACCACAAAAGGUGUUAGUACAUCUUGACAGCAGGACGGUGGCCAUGGAAGUCGGAAUCCGCUAAGGACUGUGUAACAACUCACCUGCCGAAUGUACUAGCCCUGAAAAUGGAUGGCGCUCAAGCGUCUCACCCAUACCUCGCCCUCAGGGUAGAAACGAAGCCCUGAGGAGUAGGCGGACGUGGAGGU